This 503-nucleotide ribosomal RNA is filed under the name uncultured bacterium. RNAcentral describes it as "bacterial SSU rRNA". It matches the Rfam family "Bacterial small subunit ribosomal RNA", at positions 20 to 518 of the family's 1533-position model. The record is from RNAcentral.
UGGCUCAGGAUGAACGCUAGCGGCAGGCUUAACACAUGCAAGUCGAGGGGCAUCGGGAGUAGCAAUACUGCCGGCGACCGGCGCAAGGGUGCGUAACGCGUGAGCAACAUGCCCGUAUCAGGGGGAUAAUCCAUGGAAACGUGGUCUAAUACCCCAUAGUAAUUAUGUAAGGCAUCUUAUAUAAUUUAAAGCUUUGGUGGAUACGGAUUGGCUCGCGUGACAUUAGCUAGAUGGUAAGGUAACGGCUUACCAUGGCUACGAUGUCUAGGGGUUCUGAGAGGAAGGCCCCCCACACUGGAACUGAGACACGGUCCAGACUCCUACGGGAGGCAGCAGUGAGGAAUAUUGGACAAUGGAUGGAAAUCUGAUCCAGCCAUGCCGCGUGCAAGGAAGACGGCCCUAUGGGUUGUAAACUGCUUUUGUAUGGGAGCAAUAAGGGCUACGCGUAGUCCGAUGAGAGUACCAUACGAAUAAGCACCGGCUAACUCCGUGCCAGCCGCCGC